This 468-nucleotide ribosomal RNA is filed under the name uncultured bacterium. Its description in RNAcentral is "partial 16S ribosomal RNA". It matches the Rfam family "Bacterial small subunit ribosomal RNA", at positions 28 to 507 of the family's 1533-position model. The record is from RNAcentral.
GACGAACGCUGGCGGCGUGCUUAACACAUGCAAGUCGAACGGAAAGGCCCUGCUUUUGUGGGGUGCUCGAGUGGCGAACGGGUGAGUAACACGUGAGUAACCUGCCCUUGACUUUGGGAUAACUUCAGGAAACUGGGGCUAAUACCGGAUAGGAGCUCCUGCUGAAUGGUGGGGGUUGGAAAGUUUCGGCGGUUGGGGAUGGACUCGCGGCUUAUCAGCUUGUUGGUGGGGUAGUGGCUUACCAAGGCUUUGACGGGUAGCCGGCCUGAGAGGGUGACCGGCCACAUUGGGACUGAGAUACGGCCCAGCCUCCUACGGGAGGCAGCAGUGGGGAAUAUUGCACAAUGGGCGGAAGCCUGAUGCAGCAACGCCGCGUGCGGGAUGACGGCCUUCGGGUUGUAAACCGCUUUCGCCUGUGACGAAGCGUGAGUGACGGUAAUGGGUAAAGAAGCACCGGCUAACUACGUG